Molecule: ribosomal RNA, 524 nt
Filed under: uncultured Glomus
Lineage: Eukaryota; Fungi; Glomeromycota; Glomeromycetes; Glomerales; Glomeraceae
Description: SSU rRNA
Rfam family: Eukaryotic small subunit ribosomal RNA
Source: RNAcentral
GUCUGGUGCCAGCAGCCGCGGUAAUUCCAGCUCCAAUAGCGUAUAUUAAAGUUGUUGCAGUUAAAAAGCUCGUAGUUGAAUUUCGGGGUUAGUAAGUUGGUCAUGCCUUCGGUAUGUACUGGCUUUACUGAUUCCUCCUUCUUGACGAACCGUGAUGUCAUUAAUUUGGUGUUGCGGGAAAUCAGGACUGUUACUUUGAAAAAAUUAGAGUGUUUAAAGCAGGCUAACGCUUGAAUACAUUAGCAUGGAAUAAUGAAAUAGGACGUUAAUCCUAUUUUGUUGGUUUCUAGGAUCGACGUAAUGAUUAAUAGGGAUAGUUGGGGGCAUUAGUAUUCAAUUGUCAGAGGUGAAAUUCUUGGAUUUAUUGAAGACUAACUACUGCGAAAGCAUUUGCCAAGGAUGUUUUCAUUAAUCAGUGAACGAAAGUUAGGGGAUCGAAGACGAUCAGAUACCGUCGUAGUCUUAACCAUAAACUAUGCCGACUAGGGAUCGGACGCUGUUAUCUUUUUGACGCGUUCGGCGCC